RNAcentral lists this ribosomal RNA (459 nucleotides) under uncultured bacterium. RNAcentral's name for it is "bacterial SSU rRNA". It matches the Rfam family "Bacterial small subunit ribosomal RNA", at positions 340 to 786 of the family's 1533-position model. The record is from RNAcentral.
UACGGGAGGCAGCAGUGGGGAAUAUUGCACAAUGGGCGAAAGCCUGAUGCAGCUAUGCCGCGUGUAUGAAGAAGGCCUUAGGGUUGUAAAGUACUUUCAUCGGGGAGGAAAAAACAAAACUAAUAAUUUUAUUUCUUGACGUUACCCGAAAAAGAAGCACCGGCUAACUCCGUGCCAGCAGCCGCGGUAAUACGGAGGGUGCUAGCGUUAAUCAGAAUUACUGGGCGUAAAGAGCACGUAGGUGGUUUUUUUAAAGUCAGAUGUGAAAUCCCUGGGCUUUAACCUAGGAACUGCAUUUUGAAACUGAAAUACUAGAGUAUCGUAGAGGGAGGUAGAAUUCUAGGUGUAGCGGUGAAAUGCGUAGAUAUCUGGAGGAAUACCUGUGGCGAAAGCGGCCUCCUAAACGAAUACUGACACUGAGGUGCGAAAGCGUGGGGAGCAAACAGGGAUUACGAUACC